AAUUCGAUUAACGCGAAGAACCUUACCCGGGCUUGAACUGCCAGCGAACGAUACAGAGAUGUUGAGGCCCUUCGGGGCGCUGGUGGAGGUGCUGCAUGGUUGUCGUCAGCUCGUGCCGUGAGGUGUCGGCUUAAGUGCCAUAACGAGCGCAACCCCUUUCGUUAGUUGCCAUCAGGUGAUGCUGGGCACUCUGGCGAUACUGCCACCGUAAGGUGUGAGGAAGGUGGGGAUGACGUCAAAUCAGCACGGCCCUUACGUCCGGGGCUACACACGUGUUACAAUGGAAGGUACAGAGAGCAGGCCGCCUGCAAAGUCGGCCGAAUCAUGAAAGCCUUCCUCAGUUCGGAUUGGGGUCUGCAACCCGACCCCAUGAAGCUGGAUUCGCUAGUAAUCGCGCAUCAGCCAUGGCGCGGUGAAUACGUUCCCGGGUCUUGUACACACCG
RNAcentral lists this ribosomal RNA (443 nucleotides) under uncultured rumen bacterium. Its description in RNAcentral is "bacterial SSU rRNA". It matches the Rfam family "Bacterial small subunit ribosomal RNA", at positions 948 to 1392 of the family's 1533-position model. The record is from RNAcentral.